UCUGCCUCUCUAAGUUGUGUUUCUACCCUGCAGAGAUUUUUUUUUUAUCGCCUUUUAAGUGCUAGGUCUCCUUCUGAAUGUAUUCAGUUGCAGCUUCUAUUGCUGCCUUUGAUAACCGAUUCCACAAAUUAACCCUUUGUAUCAUUUCUCCAAAACUCCUUUUGACAGCAGAUUUCUUUUUCCAGCUAAUCUAAGGAAUAACAUAAAGCCUCAAAGCCUCAAUGAGAUGCUUUUGGGCUACAAACGGUGCAAAACUUCUCUCACAAGCCAGGAAUGAAAGGAAUGAAAGGCAUCUGGAUUUCAACCUACAAAAUGAAAUUAAUGACAAAGGACAUGCAAGUGAGUUUGAAAAACAACAAUAACAAAAAAGGAGCCCAGAGGAAUUCUGUGGCACUCAUUGAAGCUGUUUGACUCUUUGAUUUUCCUGGAGCUGUUCAGAUCCCAGUAUAGGGUUUGUUGUUUUCUGGCCAUUCUUUUUCAGCUCUUCAGCAGCAAUGCAUUAUUCUGUAUCCAUGACUCCCAAUCUUUGCAAAUGUACUAAAUUAAAACCUAUGUGAAAUAUUCAUUGGAGGAGUGUGGAAAUCAGCCACAGAGGCAUUUUUAAAGAUCAGAAUGAAACCUUGUUAUCUCAAGAGAAAAGCUCAACAAUUGAAUAAAUAAUAAUAUUGGUCCUUUAGACCUAAGAGU
This 687-nucleotide long non-coding RNA is filed under the name Chrysemys picta bellii (western painted turtle). RNAcentral describes it as "lncRNA (ENSCPBG00000006844.1)". The record is from RNAcentral. Lineage: Eukaryota; Metazoa; Chordata; Testudines; Emydidae.